AAAUUUGAGUUUUUGAGCCAAAAAUAUUCCUAUCUUCCAUAUACACCCCAUACCUUCCAUAGCUACUGAAAUUCCUCAUUUCCAUACACCAAAACCACUCCAAAAAUUCUGAUAUAGCCAAAGAUCAAUCGCCUCGAUCAUAAGGAAGAAUGCUUAGUGAUUGAAAGUGAGAAAAACUUGAGAGUUAGCCACUUUCCAUACCACAAACUCCAUAAACUCCAUAAUUUCGAAUUGAGGAUUUGAGAACACACUUCCUACACUUGAGGGUGAUCAAGAGGAAGUUUAGAAAUCAAGAAGUUCAAUCUUUCUUUGGAAGUGGUUAGUUGAGCCACCUACAUAUUUUUUUGUUUGUUCCUUUUCUUGGUUUCGCAACAAGACAGGUUUUGCUUGGCCUAGUUCGCCGGCCGGCCUAUUUGGCCGGUCGGUUAGCUUCUUCUGAACAAGAUGGCCAAUUUCCGCCGGCGGUUCUAAAGAACAUGAACCUUUUAUUUUAUUUAUUUAUUUUAUUUUGAGUGUAUUGUGAGGUUUUUAUUUUGUUGUAAUAUUCUCCUCAUCUCUCUCUAAUUUGGUUUGUAAUUAUUCUUUAAAAUGUUGUAAUAA
Camellia sinensis is the source of this 600-nucleotide non-coding RNA. Lineage: Eukaryota; Viridiplantae; Streptophyta; Magnoliopsida; Ericales; Theaceae. The record is from RefSeq and is a predicted model, not a curated record.